GACGAACGCUGGCGGCGUGCUUAACACAUGCAAGUCGAACGGAAAGGCCCUGCUUUUGUGGGGUGCUCGAGUGGCGAACGGGUGAGUAACACGUGAGUAACCUGCCCUUGACUUUGGGAUAACUUCAGGAAACUGGGGCUAAUACCGGAUAGGAGCUCCUGCUGCAUGGUGGGGGUUGGAAAGUUUCGGCGGUUGGGGAUGGACUCGCGGCUUAUCAGCUUGUUGGUGGGGUAGUGGCUUACCAAGGCUUUGACGGGUAGCCGGCCUGAGAGGGUGACCGGCCACAUUGGGACUGAGAUACGGCCCAGACUCCUAUGGGAGGCAGCAGUGGGGAAUAUUACACAAUGGGCGGAAGCCUGAUGCAGCAACGCCGCGUGCGGGAUGACGGCCUUCGGGUUGUAAACCGCUUUCGCCUGUGACGAAGCGUGAGUGACGGUAAUGGGUAAAGAAGCACCGGCUAACUACGUGCCAGCAGCCGCAGUAA
Molecule: ribosomal RNA, 484 nt
Filed under: uncultured bacterium
Lineage: Bacteria
Description: partial 16S ribosomal RNA
Rfam family: Bacterial small subunit ribosomal RNA
Source: RNAcentral